This 105-nucleotide non-coding RNA is filed under the name Desulfuromonadales bacterium. RNAcentral's name for it is "TPP sequence". It matches the Rfam family "TPP riboswitch aptamer (THI element)". Rfam says of the family: Vitamin B(1) in its active form thiamin pyrophosphate (TPP) is an essential coenzyme that is synthesised by coupling of pyrimidine and thiazole moieties in bacteria. The previously detected thiamin-regulatory element, thi box was extended, resulting in a new, highly conserved RNA secondary structure, the THI element, which is widely distributed in eubacteria and also occurs in some archaea. Analysis of operon structures identified a large number of new candidate thiamin-regulated genes, mostly transporters, in various prokaryotic organisms. The record is from RNAcentral. Lineage: Bacteria; Pseudomonadati; Thermodesulfobacteriota; Desulfuromonadia; Desulfuromonadales.
UCGCUGCCCUAGGGGAGUGAGACACUGAGAGUUCCGCAGCGUGCGGGACGACCCUUUGAACCUGAUCCGGAUCAUACCGGCGUAGGGAAGCGGCGCUACCAACCG